This 72-nucleotide transfer RNA is filed under the name Rhinopithecimicrobium faecis. Its description in RNAcentral is "Sphingobacteriaceae bacterium WQ 2009 tRNA". It matches the Rfam family "tRNA". From Rfam's summary of the family: Transfer RNA (tRNA) molecules are approximately 80 nucleotides in length. Their secondary structure includes four short double-helical elements and three loops (D, anti-codon, and T loops). The record is from Rfam by way of RNAcentral. Lineage: Bacteria; Pseudomonadati; Bacteroidota; Sphingobacteriia; Sphingobacteriales; Sphingobacteriaceae.
GCCGAAGUAGCUCAGGGGUAGAGCACUUCCUUGGUAAGGAAGAGGUCGAGGGUUCAAAUCCCUUCUUUGGCU